RNAcentral lists this long non-coding RNA (211 nucleotides) under Callithrix jacchus (white-tufted-ear marmoset). RNAcentral's name for it is "lncRNA (ENSCJAG00000086254.1)". The record is from RNAcentral. Lineage: Eukaryota; Metazoa; Chordata; Mammalia; Primates; Cebidae.
AGAAUGAUGCCCAAAGCUUGUCUCAACGGGUAUGUUGUGAUUGUUUCUUCUCUCAUGUAAAGUUCUGAAGCCUUUAUUUCACGAAGAAGCGAAAUAUGUCUUAUCAAGUUUCACUUUCUCCAGCUUAUUUCUCUUCCUAUUGAUGUGGAAUAGAAGCUGUACGAAGUGAAGGAAACUUAUUUUGAACUAUUUACAGCCUUUAAUAAUUCAG